GUUUUAAUAUGGCAAGAAAAAUAAUAGAGUACCUGCAUAUUCAAAAUAGAAAGUCAAGUUCAAGAUCUUUAAGUGGAAAAUUGUCUCACUGGGAGAACAAUCUUAAUUUCCAUUUAAUCCCAAAUAUCUGUUAGUUGUUUAAGUUUGAAAAUAAGCUUGUCAAUUUUGCUGAAAAUAAUACAUUUUAUGUUCUGGUUGGCGAUUCUAAUGUGAGACCAAAGAUAGUCGGCAAUCAAUAUGGAGAAGGCCCAUCCUUUGUGCUUGUCUAUAUCUCAUCUCGUUGAAGAUGUUGAAGCAUGCCUAAAUUUUGGUGGAAUAACAAAAAGUCAGCGUAAAUCAAGUUAAGGAUUCUGAUGGUGUGCAAACAUCAAAGGAACAUCAUUCUAAUAGGAGAAGCAAUAGUGAUCUGCAUCUGGCUUUUAAUGGUGAAGAUAAGACAAAAUCUGCAUCAAUCUGACAGGCCUUUGACAAGGAUGGUGAUGUCGCUUUAAUGGGACUCACCUACAACACAAGGAAAGCCCACAUUAGAUCAUUUGGUGCCCCAUAUGGCAAAGAAGACAACACAGUCAUAUCAAUUGAUGAUUCCUAUGAUAAAGAAGACAUAAAAAUAAUUUCUUUUGAUGGUUUCCCAGAUGAAAAAGGAUGUUAACCCUGUGGGGAGGCCUGACAUAGACUUCAUUCAAUUUUUAUAAUCAAUCUUCAGUUCAUGUGUCAAUACCUUAUGAGAAAGAGAUAGAUGCUUCUAAUGUUGACUAAAUAAAGUUUAAAACCGUGUCCAAGAAUAAGCAAAAGUUCAAAACAACAUGCUUCAACUCAAUUAGUUAUAAGGUGUCGACCUCUUAUACACCACCCUGCACUGGUAAUGGAAUAGUAUUCAUUUUGUUGCAUGAGAAAUAAGAUAUUCAUCGCAAAACAGAAACGAUAAAUAGUGGUACCUGAGCAAUAUGCUUAACAGAGAUCAGUUUAAUCAUUACAAAUGAUGCAUACCAUCCUUGCUUUAGACCAGAAUAUUUCCAAGAGCCCUUCGGCAUCAUCAUCAAUAUAAAAGAGGGUAUCCAUGGGCAGCCCAACAUCAGAACAAAAAGGGAAAUCCAAUCAGGAAUGGACUAUCAGUUAAUAAAAGGCUGUAAAGAGAUGGCAUCAGGAAUGGCCUAUGCUGUUACAGAUUUCAAAUAAAAUCNNNNNNNNNNNNNNNNNNNNNNNNNNNNNNNNNNNNNNNNNNNNNNNNNNNNNNNNNNNNNNNNNNNNNNNNNNNNNNNNNNNNNNNNNNNNNNNNNNNNCAAUUUUUGUCCUACCCAAUUUCGCAGUCUCCUUGCAUCGGUUGACUCAUAAGAAUUUUCCCUGAUCAGUAGACAUUCAAUUUGUUAAGAGUUUAUCAUCUUGUAUGUUCAUUAUUUUUUUUUGUGUGCUCAUCAGACCGAUCAUAAGUCUUGUAAUGUUUAAAGUGCAAGCACGUUACCCAUGAUUAAGUUGAUCUAGGUAAUGAUUUUUAACACAAGCCUUAGACAAAAGAUGUGAAGAUCUUAAAUAUGAUUUUUAUGAAGAACUUGUAAUUCACAGAUUCCCUGAACUUUGUUUUAAAGAUUAGAUUAAGGAAUGAAUUCGUCUCACAGGAUUGUAAGAGUCAAAGCGUGAGUGCUCACAUUUUUAUAUGAAGGACAAUCUAUACCCGUCAAUCCUUGGUCUUAAUAUGGCAAGAAAAAUAAUAGAGUACCUGCAUAUUCAAAAUAGAAAGUCAAGUUCAAGAUCUUUAAGUGGAAAAUUGUCUCACUGGGAGAACAAUCCUAAUUUCCAUUUAAUCCCAAAUAUCUGUCAGUUGUUUAAGUUUGAAAAUAAGCUUGUUAGUUUUGCUGAAAAUAAUACAUUUUAUGUUCUGGUUUGCGAUUCUAAUGUGAGACCAAAGAUAGUCGGCAAUCAAUAUGGAGAAGGCCCAUCCUUUGUGCUUGUCUAUAUCUCAUCUCGUUGAAGAUGUUGAAGCAUGCCUAAAUUUUGGUGGAAUAACAAAAAGUCAGCGUAAAUCAAGUUAAGGAUUCUGAUGGUGUGCAAACAUCAAAGGAACAUCAUUCUAAUAGGAGAAGCAAUAGUGAUCUGCAUCUGGCUUUUAAUGGUGAAGAUAAGACAAAAUCUGCAUCAAUCUGACAGGCCUUUGACAAGGAUGGUGAUGUCGCUUUAAUGGGACUCACCUACAACACAAGGAAAGCCCACAUUAGAUCAUUUGGUGCCCCAUAUGGCAAAGAAGACAACACAGUCAUAUCAAUUGAUGAUUCCUAUGAUAAAGAAGACAUAAAAAUAAUUUCUUUUGAUGGUUUCCCAGAUGAAAAAGGAUGUUAACCCUGUGGGGAGGCCUGACAUAGACUUCAUUCAAUUUUUAUAAUCAAUCUUCAGUUCAUGUGUCAAUACCUUAUGAGAAAGAGAUAGAUGCUUCUAAUGUUGACUAAAUAAAGUUUAAAACCGUGUCCAAGAAUAAGCAAAAGUUCAAAACAACAUGCUUCAACUCAAUUAGUUAUAAGGUGUCGACCUCUUAUACACCACCCUGCACUGGUAAUGGAAUAGUAUCCAGUUUUUUACAUGAGAAAUAAGGUAUUCAUCGCAAAACAGAAACGAUAAAUAGUGGUACCUGAGCAAUAUGCUUAACAGAGAUCAGUUUAAUCAUUACAAAUGAUGCAUACCAUCCUUGCUUUAGACCAGAAUAUUUCCAAGAGCCCUUCGGCAUCAUCAUCAAUAUAAAAGAGGGUAUCCAUGGGCAGCCCAACAUCAGAACAAAAAGGGAAAUCAAUCAGGGAGUUAGGCCAAACACUAGAUAGAGGACAUUAAGCUAAUAAAAGGCUGUAAAGAGAUGGCAUCAGGAAUGGCCUAUGCUGUUACAUAUUUCAAAUAGAAUCAUUAAGCCAAUCCAGCCAUGGACUAUCAGUUAAUAAAAUCUCAUAGGACAGCACUAAGCAGAAGUAAUUCGAAAUUAUUAUCCUCCAGUUACACUUUGAGGCAUUAAUGCAAUGAUAUUAGAGGAAAAUAAAAUGCUAUCGACAGUAAGGGCAUCAAUCAACAAAAUUUCAAAAGGGCUGCACUAAACAGUUACAUUCUGAAGUAAUAACAGAGCAAUAAAGUAUGAAAUUCAAAUCAGUCGGGGGUUACAAAUCAGUGUAGAAAAACAGUAAGGUACUAAGGCAAAGGGAAAUACAAUCAGCCGUGAAUAAUAUCCAGAGAGCAGUUUAGAGCAUUAAUAUUUUAAUUACGGUCAUCAUUAGCAAAUUAUAAAUAGCUCGACAGUUAUCACAUAGUCCUAAUCAGCAUUCAUGGGCAGUUAAAGUAUUGAAAUCAGAAAGCAAAAUUCAUGGGAUUUCAAAAGGGGCAGUUUCAGUCAGUAACUCAAAAAAAGCAAAAAAAGCAAAAGAGAAAGAAUACAAAAAAGAAAGAAAAGCAUUGCAACAGUGAUAAAAAGAGAACAAAUCAGAAAAAUUAGAGAGGAUAACAAGUGAAAAACAUGGAGCAUUCUAGAGAGAAAGGCAGAAAUAUAAACAGAGAGACUGACAUUCAAGCAAAGUCAACUUGUUAUCCGAUGCAAACCGUAGUACGAGUAGUAACCAGAACCGGGAACCACCGUGAAGGUUCGGGUCCCGCCGAUGAAAACCGCACUCGAUCCUUUCCUCGCCCUUAAUAAGCCUCUACGAGGACAGGAAGUUAUAAAAAUGAUAAAAAAUGUAUAAUAAUAGAACAAAGAAGCAAAUGGAGAAGUAAGAGGAGACGAGUGAUGAAAACCAAAGAGAUUAGGAAGGAAUGAGGACCUUUUUUCGGCCGUGAAUGAGAACCGAACCACCGUAAGCCCCGAUGAUUCUUAAUCACCGCUAUCGCAACGCUUCAAGCCGAGUCAUCACCGAAGAAGAGAAAAGAGGGAGAUUUCGUUCGAUGCAUCUUGAAGAGAAAGGGAUUCUCUUCGUCGAUCCCCUCCAACACGGGCUGGAAGGCUUCCUCCAGCUAAAUCCGUGAGCCAUCGUGCUCCUCCGCGCCGAUGAAGGUGGAGCGAUGCAAGAAGGAGGAGUUGGCAAUUAGGGAUUUUAUUCCCAUUUCCCUUUCUGCUGGAUUCCAUGGGUUUGGGGGUGAAAGGGGUUCACCCCUUUUAAUUAUUCCCAUCUCAUUUAACUCCUUUUCUUUAUUUACUCUUUGGUUGAUUUUUUUUUAUUUUUCAUUAUUCCAUCUAUGCAAUUUAAAAUGAAAUGAACAUUAAUUUAUAUGCUGCAUAUCUCAUAACUUUUAUAAUGAUUGCGUAUUCCAACUUUAAGCAACAAGCUAUUUUAUCACUAAAUUCAACCAUCAAUUCCAUAUAAACUAUUUUAUUUAAUAAGACUAUUUUGCUACUAAACUCUAUAUGUAUAAAUAAUAAGAUACACCAACACCGUCUCUAAACUAUUAAUUCUAUAUGUAUAAUUAAUAAUCACCUAAAUUCUAUAUGUACGAAUAAUUAGAAACUAUAUUAUCAAAUUAAUCAUAGAAUUUUUAUAGUAAGGUUAUGGCUCGAGUUGUCUCUAACUUCUCUAAGAAUGAGAAGAAGGUCUACAACCAACACCGUCUCUAAACUAUUAAUUCUAUAUGUAUAAUUAAUAAGCUAUUUUAUUACUAAAAUCAUAUAUCUAUAAAUAAUUAGAAACUAUUAUACUAAAUAAAUUUUAUGGGUUUUUUAGUAAGGUUACGGCUAUUAAUCAUGUAUAUAGAAAAUAAUUCUCCGGCCUAUUUUGCUACCUAAUUCUAAAAAUAACCCAAUAUUAUUUUAGCGAAUAAAUUGGGAUUUUUAUAGUGAGGUUACGGUUCGAGUCGUCUCUAACUCCCUGGAAAUAAGGAGAAGGUCUACGACCAACACCGUUCCUGAACUAUUAGUCUCAUUGAACCAAAAAAAUUAUAUAUUAACAAACUCAAUAAGCUAAUACCUCUAAAACCUAUCGGUAUUUUCCAAAUCAUUAACAAUCAACCAAAGUAGAAGCAAUUAUUUGAAAUAGAACUACGUAAGCCUUGAUCCCCUUAAUAGGGGUACGUAGGACCAAAGUCAAUAUUGUCAGGCUCAAUAAUAAAGAUAAAUAAUUCUAAAUAAAUAAUUGUUAAGGGUAUAAAAGUCUAUGUUAUUAGCGAAUACGGGCGGACGGGGUGCUAAUACCUUCCCCGAUCUGUAAUCGACUCCCGAAUUCAGAAUCUCUAUCUAAAGACCAUUUUAUCCUAAUUGGGCUUACUAUAGAGUUUUCUACGUUUUAACCGCAAAAAACGUAGUGGCGACUCCAAAUCAAUUGGGAGAGGUAGAAAUCGGGUUCACUUCUCUCCAAGUCGUAGAGCCGGUCUUCCAACCGAAAAGCGGGUCGCGACAGUUGGCGACUCCACUGGGGACAUCCUAUAAGAGAGUCAGGCCUUGAACCGCUAAUAACAAGAACUCAAGUACCCUUUUAUUUUUUGUUUGAGUCUUGUUUUUCUUAGGAAUGAAUUAUUAUCUUGAAUUACCUUUGUUGUAUGAUAUGCGAGUUCACGUGUUUGUUUUGCAGCUUAUUGGGGGGUGGGGAACUUCCUACAAAAGGUUUGUAUGCUUCCUCACACACUCACGAGAGUCAACAUGUACCUAUACCCUGAGCCCGGGUAUUAGUGAUUAAGAUCUAAGAUAGAAGGGACAUCUGCUUUGCCGGUAAGUGACCUCGAGUCGCAUCUGGUAUUGGUGGAAUGAACCACCCAGAUCGUUUCUGGUAUUAUGAGUUAAAGGCUUGGAGGGCUCGAUCCUUCUCAUUUUUAACCUAUGAUACCUGGUCUCCUUAAUUUCGGGAUUGGGUGCGAUCUGGUGACCUAGAAGUCUAGAGCUUUACCAAGUCCACUCUAAACAAAAUCUAGUAUCCUCACCUUAGGACGUAACCUAUAAACAUUCCAAGAAUCCCUUGUAAGACGUACCUUAUUUAGGACACAGGAAGCAAACAAUUUCUACUCUUUAUUAUUUACAAUCAUAAAAGUGGGGCGUAGGCCGUAAAUGGCCAGUUCCUUCAACAUCCCCACCAGAGGGCCCAAUGCCCUACGGGAUGCAUUUCAUACACACCCGUUGAUGGGUGCAAACACCCUAAAGACGUAAUUUAUGUUAUAUCAGACUAAUCGAGGUUAUUUCAUUUAAUCCCAUGCUGCAAUUAGUCCCAUUAAUGCGCUCGAGGCCCUAGGGACAAGUUUAUAUCACCAUGUUAUGAAAACAUAAUAUAAUAAAAUCAAGAUUUUACUGCCCCCAUAUAAGGACCAGCAUCCUAGGGGGUAUACAUCAUGCACAUCAUUCAUUCAUGCAUUCAUCCAUGCAUUCUUUAUCUCAUUUAUUUAACACCUUUACGAUUGUCACGCCUUUUGCAGAUUACUUUGUCGAAGAGAAACUGGUAUAGUAAGACAUGGAGACUGAUUCUCAAGUUGUGGGUUCUGUCAGCACUCUAUCAGUGAAAAAAGGAGUGAGGGUAGAAUUACAAGUUAUGGAUGUAAGCUUCCUAGCAGAUCUUGUCCCCAAGAUCCCUCAAGAGGUUCAAGACCAGCUGGCAAGAGAAUAUGGAAGGUUGUCUGACUUGGUCCUCAUCACGGUUGAUAUAGAAACAUUAAAGGGCAUGAAAGACAUGAUCCAGUACUGGAACACUGCUCUACACAUCUUCGAAUUCCCAAAUAUUGAUGCAUCCCCGACUGUGGAGGAGUAUGAGGUCCUACUCGAUAUCGGCUCUUCCAUCACAGAUAUCGAGCUAUCAAACAGGCUAAAGCUGUAUCAGUAUAACGGUACUCAGAAUGUUACAGAAGAGUAUAUCGAGGGGCUGAUCGGGAUGCAUCCCUUGUUCUGGGCAGAGUUACGGCUUUCUGUUUUUGCUUCGAAUGAUAUGGGGCCUAGGUUGCCCAAUAUUUGGGGUCUUUGCAAUGAAAAAACAUCUUGCCGAAAUGGUGGAACAAGGAAAUUGGGAGCUAUUCAAACCCGCUUUUGCUCUAGCAGUAUAUGGUAUGGUCCUAUUCCCUUUCGUUUAUGAUAUGGUAGACCAAGCGACGAUCGAUGUCUUCGCCAAAGUCAAGAGGUUCAGAGUUAACCCCGUUCCAGCAAUAGUCGCAUAAAUUCUCUUAUCUUUCCAAAGGUGUCAUGAAAAAGGCUACCACAAGGUCCGUUGUUGUGUACAUUUACUCUAUGUGUGGAUGAUUACUCGGUUUGCGCAUCACCAAUAUCCAGAUUGGAGCAGGUACCCCCUGCGCCGGUUCAGAAAUAUUGCAAUUAAACCUAUGCAACUGGCGGAUUGGAAGAAACUGUUCAAAGAGGUAACCCCUAGGAAUUUUGGAACAAAGUGUUGCUUAUAUGACAAACAUCAGGCAGUGAUGUACUCAUGUGGAGACUUUCCGAACAUGAUGUUGAUGGGCCCCCGAGGAUGCAUCUCUUUCACCCCAGCCUCAGUACUGGGACAACUGAAAUGGGGGAUGAAUCCGGUACCUCAAGAAAAGUUGCAGGGGAUCACAGUCUGGUAUAGGGACGAGGGAACUACCCGAGAAGUUCUCACAUCUGUUGGGAACGCUCUGAGGAGUAUCCGUCUCUGUGGGAAGAAUGAGCUUGGAGAACACCAAGCCUAUUACACUGAAGAGUACAAAUGCUGGAGGAAUGAAAGGACGAAAUAUGUUAUGUUGCCACCAUCUGAGUCAUCAAAAGAACCGAUCGGGCCAUCCCAUAACGAACUACUACUCGUUAGUCAGAACAAACUUCUGGAAUCAGAGUUGGAAGAGGCCCGAGAUGAAGUAGAGAAAUAAAAAUUGAUGGUGGAGAAGCUUAACAAACCAUCGCUGCACAGAAGAAGGAGGAAGUCAGCUUGAAGCGAGACUAUGCCAGCAUGUGCUCUUCAUCCGACAAAUUCCGCCUGAUCCGAGCUGGCAAAGAAAAAGACAAAAAAAUAACAGAAUUGAUCAGGUCAGAGAAAGAAAAAGAUGAACAGAUAGCCGACAUGGUUGAUCAACUGAAGGCUCGAGGGCGAGCCCUACAUACUACUUAAAGGGAUGUUCACAUGCUGAAAGCAAAAAUAGAGAAUAUGCAUGCCAACCGAAGAGAUGGGAGCCAAACGGGGGCUAUCUUAAAAGAGUAUCAGGAAGCCUUGAUGCGAGCCAGGGAAAGAGAGGAUCAACUGAAUGUUGCGUUGGAUGCUCGUUUCCAAGCAUUGGCUGAAGCAAAUCACGAUAAAACCCAUCUUUCUGAACGAAUGAAGGACCUUGAGGAAGCCUACAAUGAGUUAAAUGCCAAACAUCAUGAGUGGUCACACAACUGGGAGAAUAUGCUCCAGGAGUGUAAAUGGGACAAGGAGAAAUGGGAAGGAAGAUGCAGGCAAAUCAUCGAGGGUCUUGGGGACUUUGCUGAUGAUUGGUUGAGAAACUUUGAUGAUGCCCGCCAGGAGGUGGAAAUGUACCCUGAUACNNNNNNNNNNNNNNNNNNNNNNNNNNNNNNNNNNNNNNNNNNNNNNNNNNNNNNNNNNNNNNNNNNNNNNNNNNNNNNNNNNNNNNNNNNNNNNNNNNNNUGCUGCAUCUGGAGAAUAUUGAGCAUUUUAUGUUUUUCUUCUCCUUUGUUAAAAAUAAAAAGAAAGAGAGAAUCAUAAAGGAAAAUUGUAGUCCUACUAUGAAUAUGAAUAAAAAAUUUCUCCUUUUCUCAGAGUUUAUCCAAGUUGUUAUCUAUACAAGUAUCAUAAGGGCUCAUCAUCUUAUCUAAUAUGCAAGUAAAAAAUUCGUGACAGAGUAAAAACAUCUUGUAAUUAGACACAAUCUUGGUCUGAAGCCUAGAGUUUCUUCUAACGAUUGGUAUCAAAUGUAAACGGUCUUGCGGACUACGCUCCCAAGAUUACCAAAUACAUGACAAGAUGUUUAAUGAUAGUGAUCCACAAUGAGAGAAUAAGCCUAGAUGUAAGCAAGGUCCGAAGCCUAGAGCUUCCUCUGAGUAUUGUUAUCAACACAAGAGAAACUAUUGGGGUGCGCCUCGUAGUCAGCAAAUGCCGGUCAAGAUGUCUUACUAUACCAAGCCUCUCGAAGACAAAGAAAUCAUUUUGCUUUCAUUUUUAUCAUUUAUUUUUCAAAUUUUUAUUUUUCAAAAAUUUAUUUUUCAAAUUUUUAUUUUUCCAAUAACUCAGGUUCUGUAAUCAUUGCACACCAACAUCCUUACAAUACCCGAUCAAAAACAAAGACCAUGGCCGACCAGGAAGCUACUACUGGAGGGAAUCCCGAGGUGAUUGAGCUGAAAGAGCAAAUAGCACUGAUGAUGAGAAUGAUGGUAGCCAUGCAGCAAGAAAUGGCAUCUGGGAAUUCUUCUGUAGCAGAUAAGCGGGCCCAAUCCGCACGUAAUGCCAAUGAAGGGGGGCACAACCAACAGUCUGCCUCUAAGCAUUAGGGUGCAUCACAAGGACAUACCUCGUCAAACAAAGAGAACUCACAACACACCAACCAACAUGACUCGGAUGACGAUCCUAACUACCACGCUCCCAAGAAUGAUAAAAGCACUGCAGGACAUCAAGCUAGUAAAGACACAAACGCGAUGAUAAAGGGAAGGGGAAGGAGGAUGAAAUGUGGGACGUCAUUAAUGAAAGGCUUAAAGCUGUGGAAGGGGCUAACUGUCCCGAUUUAAAGAACGCUUUUGAAAUGUGUCUGGUCCCAGAUGUCGUUCUUCCUCCUAAGUUCAAGGUUCUCGAAUUCGAAAAGUAUGACGGGACUACAUGCCCGAAAAGCCAUCUUCAUAUGUACGCCCGGAAAAUGUCAGCGUACCAUAAUGAUGAUAAGCUGCUGAUUCAUUGCUUUCAAGAUAGCCUUGUGGGGAUCGCCACUUUGUGGUACAUCCGCCUCGAAAGCAAGCACAUUAAGACCUUCCUGGAUCUUUCCAAUGCCUUCAUAAGGCAGUACAAAUUCAAUGAGGACUCUGCGCCGGACCGCAACAAGCUUCAAAGCAUGUCGAAACCGGCAAGUGAAUCAUUCAGGGAAUAUGCACAGAGAUGGAGAGGAGUGGCCUCACAAGUCUUACCCCGUCUGGAGGAAGAAGAGCAGAUCACUAUCUUCAUCAAUACUCUCCCUAACCCUUUCUUCGACAAGAUGAUUGGGAAUAAUACAUGUGAUUUCAAUUCAUUGAUUAGAGUAGGAGACAGAAUUGAGCAAAACAUGAAAACUGGAAAGAUUGCCGCCGAACAAACCGGAGAGCCCAAAAGGCCCAACUACAUGAAAAAAAGAAACUGAAGCCCACUACAUAGCCGGAGAACCCCAAAAGAUGUCAAACAAGAUAAACAACAAUCCCUGUUCAUAUACACACCGCCCUCAACACAACCAAACACCAUACCAACCGAGCUCGCAAAACACAUACCAGAUCCCAUACCAACCAAUAGCCUACAUUAACCACAACCGCCCACCACUUCAACAAAACACAACCUUUCAAUACAACCAACCACAACCAAACCUCUAUCAACCCCGACCACCUAGGCCCAACUAUCAACCAAAUAACCAAGCCCAAAACCAUCAUCCACCCGCGCAAUACCAAACUCAGGAAAGAAGGACUUUCGACCCUAUCCCUAUGACCUAUGCCGAACUAUUCGCCACCUUACAAACAGAGCGCAUCCUAGCACCCAUUCUAGGAAGAGUCCCAAAUACUAUGGCCGCAUGGUACAACCCCAAUGUCAAUUGUGCUUACCAUUCGGGAGUAGUGGGGCAUUCAAUCGAAACUUGUAAGGCAUUAAAACACAGAGUGCAGGAUCUUAUCGAUUCCGGAUGAUUGAAAUUCAAAGACGAUGUUCCCACCAUCACAAACAACCCUUUGCCCAAUCAUGGGAACCAGGGGGUGAAUGUCUUAGAGUGGGAUGAGGCAGACACUAUUAUUGACAGGGUGGAAGACAUAAAGACACCCCUAAAGAUCAUAUUUUUGGAGAUGUGCAAAAGAGGUCUGGUGAAGUGUACGCAAGAUGGUCAACAUGAAGGUGACGUUUGCAUGCUACAUGGGACUACAUACCAUAACAUAGAAGAAUGUUCCAAGUUCAGGUCAUUGAUACAAGAAUUAUUGGACUCCCAGUUGUUGAGGAUCGGGAGGCGAAAUGAAUGUUCUGACAUAUGUGUCAUUGAAAAAGACGAGGAAAGUCCGAGUCCGGUCAUUAUAAGGUAGUUUGUACCAGUAUUCAACAUACCUACUAGCACACCAUCAUAUGCAGCUCCGCCCCGAUGGGCGCCUCAUUUGAGAAAUAUGGGACAUGAGAUAGCAAGACAACCGAGCCCAUUCCCAUAUCAAUCAGACAGAGCCGUCCCUUGGAAGUAUCGAGAGGAAGCCGGAAAAAUGCCAGUUCCAACAAAUGAAGUUGUCCACUUGGCCGGGGUGGGAAAUAUGACAAGGAGCGGAAGGGUUUAUAGCCCCGUUGAGAUAGCCAGUAAAGUCAUCAAUGCGUCUAAAGGCAAAGAAAAAGUUGAUAAGCCAGUAGAUACCAGUUCUGGAGCGGCCCGGGUUGAGAUCCCUCCAUUUGAUGUUGAAAGAGAAGUCACAGAUGAUGAAGCUUGUGAGUUCUUAUGAUUCAUCGGGCAAAGCGAGUAUCAAAUAGUUGACCAGUUGAGUCGCACUCCAGCCAAGGUAUCAUUGUUGUCUUUACUGAUGAAUUCAGAAGCUCACAGAAAGGUCCUACUGAAAGUGCUGAACCAGGCCCAUGUCGACCAUGAUAUAAGUACUAGCAAAUUAGAUGGUAUCGUCAAUAAUAUCAUGGUCGAUAACUUUAUCUCCUUCAGCAAUGAGGAAAUACCGAGUGAAGGAACAGGGCACACCCGUCCUCUCCACAUCUCCAUCAUGUACACAGAUUUUGUAAUAGGAAGGGUGUUGAUAGACAAUGGUGCAUCGCUCAAUGUGAUAACCAAGAGAACAUCGUCUAAAUUACGAGUGGACGAGUCAGCCAUAAAACCAAGUUCAACAGUUGUUCGAGCCUUCGAUGGAGCCCGAAGGGAUGUGCUGGGAGAAAUCGAGCUACCUGUGAAGAUUGGGCCGUGUACUUUCCAGAUCCUAUUUCAGUUCAUGGAUAUCAAUCCGUCGUUCAGCUGUCUAUUGGGAAGGCCAUGGAUCCAUUUCAUCGACGCUAUACCUUCCUCAUUGCAUCAAAAGGUGAAGUUUAUCGCGGGGGGCAAGUUGAUAACCAUCAUGGGUGAAGAAGACAUUCUGGUGUCUCAGCUUAGUGAUACCCCAUACAUAGAAGCUGACACUGAAGCUUUAGAGUCUUCUUUCCGGGCGUUAGAGAUUGCAAGUGCUUCUUCCAAUAGGAGAGGACAUCCUAAACUCAAUCUGCCACCCUCUAAUGUCUCCAUUAACAUGGCGAGGGUCAUGCUAAAGAAAGGAUUCCAGCCAGGAAAAGGUUUAGGGAGAUAUGGUCAGGGAAUUGAAAACACCACAACCCUCCCAAUUAAUAAUGGUCGAUAUGGAUUGGGCUAUAAACCCAGCAAAGCUGAUGAGGACCGACUGGCAGAGGAAAAGAAGAGGAGUACUACUCGUGCGGGGCGUUACAGAAAUGAUAGCAGAAGGAUUCCCAUCCCCCACAUCAGUCAGAGUUUUGUGAGUGCAGGCUUCCCAGAACAGAAACUGAUUGCAAUGAUGAGUGAAGACCAGCCAGAUGAUGAUUUCAGUCAGGUGUACUAGUGCCCUCCAGGCAUGAUCUUGGACAAUUGGACCAUAAAGGAUGUUGCUAGCUGUAUUUAUGGGCCAAUGUAAUUAAAAAUGUUUUAACAUUUAUAAACUUUUUUGGUCACCAUUUGCCUAGCCCUGGGCAUUUGGAUCUCGUGUUAAUAAGGGCAUGUUUUUACUUUCAUCAGUGUGAUUUCUAAUAAAACAAACCAUCGCAUUUCAUUCCAUUUCUUGAACAAUUUUAUAUUGCACUUUCUGCCUAAACAAAUCAAUAAAUUAACCUGAUAUAAACCAAUAAACCAUAAUGCAGAUCUGACAUCGAAUCUAUAUCUAAUGCCAUCAUUAACAAUCACUUGCCAAAUUUUGAUCACCCGAUAAAUCAAGCAGAGGGAUGUGACAGUGACGAAGGCUGCGAAGCGUCACCGGAAUUGCGGAGAUUAGUCAAACAAGAAGGCCAAGAAAUUCAGCCUCAUGGGGAACCCGUCGAGUUGGUGAAUCUAGGUUCAGAGGAAGAAAAGAAGGAGGUUCGGAUAGGCACAAUCAUGGAUAGCACUGAGCAAGAAAAACUCAUUGCGCUUCUACAUGAAUACAAGGAUGUAUUCGCUUGGUCAUAUGAGGAGAUGCCAGGUCUAGAUCGGAAUUUAGUGGAACACAAACUACCGCUACAAGAAGACUCUAAACCGGUAAAACAAAAACUACGAAGGAUGAGGCCAGACAUAUCCUUAAGAGUCAAAGAGGAAGUGGAAAAAUGGUUGGAAGCCAAAUUCGUGACAGUCUCUACAUACCCCAAAUGGGUGGCCAACAUAGUUGCAGUGCCAAAGAAAGGAGGGAAACUCCGGAUAUGUGUUGACUAUAGAGACCUUAAUCGGGCAAGUCCAAAGGAUGACUUCCCUGUGCCACACCUCGAUGUUCUAGUCGAUAGUACAGCCGAUCAUGCUUUAUUCUCAUUCAUGGACGGAUACUCCGGGUACCACCAGAUUAAGAUGGCUCCGGAAGAUAUAGAUAAAACAACCUUCAUUACCCCAUGGGGUACCUUCCGCUAUCUCGUGAUGCCAUUCGGGUUAAAAAAUGCUAUGGCCACCUAUCAAAGGGCCAUGAUUGCCAUUUUUCAUGAUAUGAUGCACAAGGAGAUCGAGGUCUAUGUCGACGAUAUCAUUUGCAAAUCCAAAUCGGAAGAGGAGCAUGUCCCCAAUCUGCGAAAGCUCUUUGAGAGGUUACGAAAGUAUCAGCUCAAAUUGAACCCAGCUAAAUGCAGCUUCGGAGUGAAAUCUGGCAAAGUCUUGGGCUUCAUUGUUAGUCAGAAAGGCAUAGAGGUUGAUCCUGAAAAAAUCAGAGCCAUCGCCGAGAUGCUAGCCCCUAAGACAGAGAAAGAAGUUAGAGGAUUCUUGGGUCGUCUGAACUACAUCUCCCGGUUUAUCUCUCAACUAACUGCAAUUUGUGAACCCAUAUUCAAGUUAUUAAGGAAGAAUCAAGCGGUGACAUGGAAUGAAGACUGCCAAACAACUUUCGAAAAAAUCAAGCAAUACUUGGACAGAACCUCCGAUAUUGAUGCCUCCAGUCCCAGGUCGACCCCUAAUCCUGUAUCUAACAGUGCUGGAUGAGUCCAUGGGUUGUAUUCUAGGACAACAUGAUUACUUAGGGAAGAAAGAGCAGAUCAUUUAUUACCUGAGCAAGAAAUUCACUGAUUGUGAGAAGAGGUAUUCUCUGCUGGAACGCACUUGUUGUGCCUUGGCAAGGGAUCGUAAUACAUGUUGAGCCACACUACUUGGUUGGUAUCUAAAAUGGAUCCAAUUAAAUACAUAUUUGAGAAGCCUAUUAUGACGGGGAGAAUUGCCAGAUGGCAGGUGCUUCUAUCCGAGUAUGAUAUCGUGUAUGUCACCCAGAAGGCAAUAAAAGGAAGUGUCCUCGCCGAUUACCUUGCCAGCCAACCGGUAGACAAAGGGGAUUUGAUUAAUGAGGAAUUCCCUGAUGAAGGGAUUAUGAUGAUAUCUCUAGGCAUGGAAACAGAAGGAGAUAGAUGGACUCUUGUGUUUGACGGGGCUUCCAAUAUACUCGGACACGGAAUAGGGGCAGUAUUGAUCUCCCCGGAGAAUAAAUUCAUCCCGAUUACUGCUCGACUAUGCUUUGACUGCACCAACAACAUCACGGAGUAUGAGGCAUGUGUCUUGGGUUUGGAGGCGGCCUUGGAGUCAAGAAUUAAAUCCAUAGAAGUAUUCGGAGACUCUGCUCUAGUGAUUCAUCAAGUAAAAGGGGAAUGGGAGACCAGAGAUUCUAAGUUGAUACCAUAUAGAGAUCAUAUCCAAAAGUUGAUCGAUCGAUUCGAGGAAAUAGACUUUUACCAUAUCCCAAGGGAAGAUAAUCGGUUGGCUGAUGCUUUGGCAACUUUGUCCUCCAUGUUCCAGAUAGGUGAAAAGGAAAUGCUAGUUAUCAGAAUAGCAAGCAAAGAUCAGCCUGCAUACUGCUAUGAGUAAAGAGUAUCAUGACAUAAUGACAUACCUCAAGAGCAAAGAGUAUCCUUCCGAGGCCACGGAAAAUGAUAAAAGGACUCUACGAAGGUUAGUUAUGGGCUUCUUUCUAAACGAAAACGUGUUGUACAAAAGAAACCAUGACAUGAUGCUACUGAGGUGUGUGGAAGCCAAGGAAGCAGAGAAGAUCAUCCAGGAAAUACAUGAAGGAAUGUUUGGGACCCAUACGAAUGGGCACUCAAUGGCUCGGAAAAUCCUGAGAACAGGCUAUUUCUGGUUAACAAUGGAAAGUGAUUGUUGCGAUCAUGUACGAAAAAGUCACAAAUGCCAGAUUUAUGCUGAUAAUAUUAAUGCAUCUCCCAGCCUGCUAAAUGUUAUGUCUUCCCCAUGGUCGUUUUCUAUGUGGGGUAUGGACGUUAUCAGUCCGAUCGAACCAAAGGCUUCCAACGGUCACCGCUUCAUCUUGGUUGCAAUCGACUAUUUCACCAAGUGGGUCGAGGCGAACUCAUACGCAAGCGUAACUCGUAACGUGGUACUCAAGUUUAUAAAAAAGGAGUUGAUUUGCCGCUAUGGUUUGCCUCAGAAAAUUAUCACAGAUAAUGCUACCAAUCUCAACAACAAGAUGAUGACGGAGAUGUGUGAGGAAUUCAAAAUCAAACAUCACACUUCUUCGCCUUACAGACCUAAGAUGAACGGGGCAGUGGAGGCAGCAAAUAAAAAUAUAAAGAAGAUAGUCCAGAAAAUGAUGGUGACCUACAGAGAUUGGCAUGAUAUAUUACCAUAUGCACUUCAUGGUUAUCGGACUUCUGUCCGCACAUCAACUGGGGCAACACCCUACUCGCUGGUUUAUGGGGUGGAAGCAGUGCUGCCGAUAGAAGUCGAAAUCCCGUCACUAGGAGUGCUCGCUGAAGCUGAAUUAGAAGAGGCAGAAUGGGUCCAAGCUCGACAUGGUCAGUUGAAUCUUAUUGAAGGGAAGAGGUUGGCAGCCAUAUGUCAUGGUCAAUUAUACCAGAGGAGGAUCAUGAGGGCACAUGCUAAGAAGGUACGCCCUCGAGCAUUCCGGGAAGGUGACUAGUACUGAAGAAGAUUUUACCUAUUCAGAAGGAUCACCGGGGAAAAUGGACACCCAAUUACGAAGGCCCGUAAGUGGUAAUGAAAGCGUUCUCAGGGGGAGCUCUCAUUCUGACCAACAUGGACGGAGAAGACCUUCGUCUCUCCGUAAACUCUGAUGCAGUGAAGAAGUACUAUGCUUGAGGCGACUUCCUAAAAAAAAAGAUGAAAAAAAAGAAAAAAACAAAAAAGAAGGAGAAAAAGAAACUCAAUUUCUUAGGAAUAUUAAUGUAAUGAACACGAUCGUUAUUUAUAAAAUUGCAUACAUGUUUUAAGCGAAAAUGGAGAAUGAUGUAGACAAAUUCCCUAAAGGUGUGAAUUCUCGAAUAAAUGUUUCCGAUGACACAAGGCUUCUUUGUAACUCCUAAACACUUAUGAAGAUAUCCCUAGUCACCCUAUUUUAGCCCAGACUUUAUGAAGAAUGAUCAAAAUAAAAACCCUAAAAAGACAUUAAUAACCGGGGAAGGGUAGUUUUUCCAAUAUUUCCUAUAAUUCAAAAGAACAAUGCUUCAAAUCAAGUAGUGAGAAUCUAGAAAUCUCAAAGUAGAAGAAAAAUGAGAAAGGUCCGCUAAGAUACUCAAGAGAUCUUAGGCAAAAAUUAGGACAAAAACACAUCAGAUCCUCACUUGUCAAUACUAAAACGAAGCAAUAAAAUCACGAGAGGAAUCAUUGGAAAUAGGAUAUCGGAGAAAAGGAGAUGUAGUGGGAAGGGAAACACAAUUUGAGCCUUAAUAUCCAUUUUUUUGUAAGCCAUUUAACCAGGCCACGAUUCAAGCCCAAAAAGUCCUUGUUGAGGAAUAAUUUGUUUGGAACCAUGCUAGGGUAAAAAGCAAACUGACUCCAGAAGGAAACGUUUUAAGUGCACUCAUAUUUUGUAAACCAAAACUCGCACAAAGUGAUAAUUACGUUAAUAUUUCUAAAAAAUAAAAAGAAAAAGAACAUCCUGGUAGGUCGAAAACCUGAAAGGGCGGCCUAGGCAAAAGUUAGGGAUUAUCAUUAAAGAAAGUCGUUCUCAAUCGGAAGAAUGAUCACUCAGGAAGACAUCAAAGUAAGAUACUGGGGGCAGGUUCAUUGGAUGAGUAGUCUCACCCANNNNNNNNNNNNNNNNNNNNNNNNNNNNNNNNNNNNNNNNNNNNNNNNNNNNNNNNNNNNNNNNNNNNNNNNNNNNNNNNNNNNNNNNNNNNNNNNNNNNAAAAAAAACUCGUUCAAAUCUAUACCUCCACAUGUUAAUAUAAAGUCAUACCUUGUUCAUUAUCCCUCAUAUAUUAAUGCAUGAGUUGUUUUUGUGAAAAUACACUGAUGAAUAAUAAUAUGACCUUUUGCGAUAAUUAAUCAGAACAAGUAAUCGAGCAGCAUGGCCAUCCGUAAAGAAGAGCUGAAAUCAUGUCAAUAUAAAGCUUUAUUACUAGAGCUUCCACACCAAAUGAAAUUGGAACUUCAGAUUGUAAGGAUGCUCAAAAUCAAAUUCAAUGAUAACGGACUUGUAAAAUGAAAACAAUCAAGAUUUUCUCAAUAAAUGAUUCAAACAUUACAAGCAAAAAACCACACAUCAUGCAUUGCAUAUUCACAAACUAAAAAACAUCUGCAUUUACUUUUAUUGUCUCGAGUUCCGGCAGUACCUGACCAGCGUUCUCGCAAGUACUUUUAUUGUCUCGAGUUCCGGCAGUACCUGACCAGCGUUCUCGCAAGUACUUUUAUUGUCUCGAGUUCCGGCAGUACCUGACCAGCGUUCUCGCAAGUACUUUUAUUGUCUCGAGUUCCGGCAGUACCCGACCUGCGUUCUCGCAUUUACUUUUAUUGUCUCGAGUUCCGGCAGUACCCGACCUGCGUUCUCGCAUCUACUUUUAUUGUUCCGAGUUCCGGCAGUACCCGACCUGCGUUCUCGCAUUUACUUUCAUUGUCUCGAGUUCCGGGAGUACCCGACCUGUGACCUGCGUUCUCGCAGUUACUUUUAUUGUCUCGAGUUCCGGCAGUACCCGACCUGCGUUCUCGCAUUUACUUUCAUUGUCUCGAGUUGUGGUAGUACCCGACCUGCGUUCUCGCAUUUACUUUCAUUGUCUCGAGUUCCGGGAGUACCCGACCUGUGUUCUCGCAUUUACUUUUAUUGUCCCGAGUUCCGGCAGUACCCGACCUGCGUUCUCGCAUUUACUUUUAUUGUCCCGAGUUCCGGCAGUACCCGGCCUGCGUUCUCGCAUUUAUCUUUUUAUUAUUUCGAGUUCCAGCAGCAUCCGACCUGCGUCCUCGCAUUACCUUUUGUUAUUAUCAAGUUCCAGCAGUACCCAACCUGCGUUCUCACUUUACCAAUUAUCUCUAUCUCACUUAAGGUUGUAUAGUUUCUUUCGCCCAUUUGUACCAAAAUUGACGUUCAUUUCUUUACUAACUGCUUACAGAAAUAGCAACCAAUCCUCAGUUUGUCUACUACUUAGUAAGCAAUGAGUAAAGAGGGGCAGUUGUGAACACUCAAUUUUUGUCCUACCCAAUUUCACAGUCUCCUUGCAUCGGUUGACUCAUAAGAGUUUCCCUGAUCAGUAGACAUUCAAUUUGUUAAGAGUUUAUCAUCUUGUAUGUUCAUUAUUAUUUUUUUGUGUGUGCUCAUCAGACCGAUCAUAAGUCUUGUAAUGUUGAAAGUGCAAGCACGUUACCCAUGAUUAAGUUGAUAUAGGUAAUGAUUUUUAACACAAGCCUUAGACAAAAGAUGUGAAGAUCUUAAAUAUGAUUUUUAUGAAGAACUUGUAAUUCACAGAUUCCCUGAACUUUGUUUUAAAGAUUAGAUUAAGGAAUGAAUUCGUCUCACAGGAUUGUAAGAGUCAAAGCGUGAGUGCUCACAUUUUUAUAUGAAGGACAAUCUAUACCCGUCAAUCCUUGGUCUUAAUAUGGCAAGAAAAAUAAUAGAGUACCUGCAUAUUCAAAAUAGAAAGUGAAGUUCAAGAUCUUUAAGUGGAAAAUUGUCUCACUGGGAGAACAAUCCUAAUUUCCAUUUAAUCCCAAAUAUCUGUCAGUUGUUUAAGUUUGAAAAUAAGCAUGUCAAUUUUGCUGAAAAUAAUACAUUUUAUGUUCUGGUUGGCGAUUCUAAUGUGAGACCAAAGAUAGUCGGCAAUCAAUAUGGAGAAGGCCCAUCCUUUGUGCUUGUCUNNNNNNNNNNNNNNNNNNNNNNNNNNNNNNNNNNNNNNNNNNNNNNNNNNNNNNNNNNNNNNNNNNNNNNNNNNNNNNNNNNNNNNNNNNNNNNNNNNNNUUCAUUCAAUUUUUAUAAUCAAUCUUCAGUUCAUGUGUCAAUACCUUAUGAGAAAGAGAUAGAUGCUUCUAAUGUUGACUAAAUAAAGUUUAAAACCGUGUCCAAGAAUAAGCAAAAUUUCAAAACAACAUGCUUCAACUCAAUUACUUAUAAGGUGUCGACCUCUUAUACACCACCCUGCACUGGUAAUGGAAUAGUAUCCAGUUUUUUACAUGAGAAAUAAGGUAUUCAUCGCAAAACAGAAACGAUAAAUAGUGGUACCUGAGCAAUAUGCUUAACAAGGAUCAGUUUAAUCAUUACAAAUGAUGCAUACCAUCCUUGCUUUAGACCAUAAUAUUUCCAAGAGCCCUUCGGCAUCAUCAUCAAUAUAGAAGAGGGUAUCCAUGGGCAGUCCGACAUCAGAACAAAAGGGAAAUUAAUCAGGGAGUUAGGCCAAACACUAGAUAGAGGACAUUAAGCUAAUAAAAGGCUGUAAAGAGAUGGCAUCAGGAAUGGCCUAUGCUGUUACAGAUUUCAAAUAAAAUCAUUAAGCCAACCCAGCCAUGGACUAUCAGUUAAUAAAAUCUCAUAGGACAGCACUAAGCAGAAGUAAUACGAAAUUAUUAUCCUCCAGUUACACUUUGAGGCAUUAAUGCAAUGAUAUUAGAGGAAAAUAAAAUGCUAUCGAUAGUAAGGGCUAUCAAUCAACAAAAUUUCAAAAGGGUUGCACUAAACAGUUACAUUCUGAAGUAAUAACAGAGCAAUAAAGUAUGAAAUUCAAAUCAGUCGGGGGUUACAAAUCAGUGUAGAAAAACAGUAAGGUACUAAGGCAAAGGGAAAUACAAUCAGCCGUGAAUAAUAUCCAGAGAGCAGUUUAGAGCAUUAAUAUUUUAAUUACGGUCAUCAUUAGCAAAUUGUAAAUAGCUCGACAGUUAUCACAUAGUCCUAAUCAGCAUUCAUAGGCAGUUAAAGUAUUGAAAUCAGAAAGCAAAAUUCAUGGGAUUUCAAAAGGGGCAGUUUCAGUCAGUAACUCAAAAGGUUUUUGCAUUGACUCAUACUCAGCUAUAAAUAGCAGCUCCAUUCAUAACCAGAGGAACAUUGAUACACACAUACAUUCAGCCAAAAAAGCAAAAGAGAAAGAAUACAAAAAAGAAAGAAAAGCAUUGCAAUAGUGAUAAAAAGAGAACAAAUCAGAAAAAUUAGAGAGGAUAACAAGUGAAAAACAGGGAGCAUUCUAUAGAGAAAGGCAGAAAUAUAAACAGAGAGAGUGACAUUCAAGCAAACUUAAUCCAAAAUAGACUUACGUUUCACAAGCAUUACAAAGUGGUAGAACCCGUAUCAUACGACAGGAAGCAUAUAUUCAGGUAACCAUUCAAACGAAAUAGGUAUCAUAACAUGUCUUAUUUUAGGUGAUUUAUGCAUCGAAGUUAUAGGAAUAAAUUAUAAACCGAUUUAAUCGGCCAUUUCGCAGAAACUCACAUAAGUAUAAUAGGCUAGAAUAUAAAAUAGAGCAUGAACGAAAUUGGUUUUAAUCUAUGUAUUUCCACCAGUUAAAGAGAUUUGUUUUAGUCCAUGUAUUCCCACCAGUUAAAGACCAAACACUCAUCGAUGUUGACAUAACAGAUUAAAUUCAUGCUCUAAAAUCAAAUAGAAAGGAUAAAAGAUCAAAGAGGGAUACCGAAGUAGAAAAAUGCGAUUUCCAUUCUCGAUGUCAUCUUGUUAUCCGAUGCAAACCGUAGUACGAGUAGUAACCAGAACCGGGAACCACCGUGAAGGUUCGGGUCCCGCCGAUGAAAACCGCACUCGAUCCUUUCCUCGCCCUUAAUAAGCCUCUACGAGGACAGGAAGUUAUAAAAAUGAUAAAAAAUGUAUAAUAAUAGAACAAAGAAGCAAAUGGAGAAGUAAGAGGAGACGAGUGAUGAAAACCAAAGAGAUUAGGAAGGAAUGAGGACCUUUUUUCGGCCGUGAAUGAGAACCGAACCACCGUAAGUCGCGAGGAUUCUUAAUCACCACUAUCGCAACGCUUCAAGCCGAGUCAUCACCGAAGAAGAGAAAAGAGGGAGAUUUCGUUCGAUGCAUCUCGAAGAGAAAGGGAUUCUCUUCGUCGAUCCCCUCCAACACGGGCUGGAAGGCUUCCUCUAGCUAAAUCCGUGA
This 21547-nucleotide long non-coding RNA is filed under the name Lupinus angustifolius (narrow-leaved blue lupine). RNAcentral's name for it is "long non-coding RNA (LANG_LNC001287)". Lineage: Eukaryota; Viridiplantae; Streptophyta; Magnoliopsida; Fabales; Fabaceae. The record is from RNAcentral.